UGCCAGACUCCUACGGGAGGCAGCAGUGGGGAAUAUUGCGCAAUGGGGGGAACCCUGAUGCAGCGACGCCGCGUGGGUGAAGGAGUACUUCGGUACGUAAAGCCCUAUCAGCAGGAAAGAAAAUGACGGUACCUGACUAAGAAGCCCCGGCUAACUACGUGCCAGCAGCCGCGGUAAUACGUAGGGGGCAAGCGUUAUCCGGAUUUACUGGGUGUAAAGGGAGCGUAGACGGCCAAGCAAGCCAGGGGUGAAAGCCCGGGGCCCAACCCCGGGACUGCCCUUGGAACUGCUUGGCUGGAGUGCGGGAGGGGCAGGCGGAAUUCCUGGUGUAGCGGUGAAAUGCGUAGAUAUCAGGAGGAACACCGGCGGCGAAGGCGGCCUGCUGGGCCGCGACUGACGUUGAGGCUCGAAAGCGUGGGGAGCAAACAGGAUUAGAUACCCUAGUACAC
RNAcentral lists this ribosomal RNA (449 nucleotides) under uncultured bacterium. RNAcentral describes it as "partial 16S ribosomal RNA". It matches the Rfam family "Bacterial small subunit ribosomal RNA", at positions 329 to 795 of the family's 1533-position model. The record is from RNAcentral.